Long non-coding RNA from Gorilla gorilla gorilla (western lowland gorilla), 663 nucleotides. RefSeq lists it as uncharacterized. The transcript is spliced from 3 exons. NCBI's taxonomy places the organism in Eukaryota, Metazoa, Chordata, Mammalia, Primates, Hominidae. The record is from RefSeq and is a predicted model, not a curated record.
GGGUUUUGUUCUGUCACUCUUGCCAGAGUGCAGUGAAACAAUCAGGGCUCGCUGCAACCUUGAACUCCUGAGCUCAAGGGACCCUCCUUCUUCAGCCUCCUAAGCAGCUGGGACUACAGGCACAUGCCAGAGUGCCCAGCUCCUCCAACUCCCAGACUGUGUGGUUCUGCACAACAGUGAAGAAAAUGUCAAGGAACCGAAACAAGCUGAGGCAGAUUUGUAUACUCCAGAUAUUUCAUGUCAGGCCUCUGAGCCCAAGCUAAGCCAUCAUAUCCCCUGUGACCUGCACGCAUACAUCCAGAUGGCCCGAAGCAAUUGAAGAUCCACGAAAGAAGUGAAAAUAACCUUAACUGAUGACAUUCCACCAUUGUGAUUUGUUUCUGCCCCACCCUAACUGAUCAAUGUACUUUGUAAUCUCCCUCACCCUUAAGAAGGUUCUUUGUAAUCUCCCCCACACUUAAGAAGGUUCUUUGUAAUUCACCCCACCAUUGAGAAUGUACUUUGUGAGAUCCACCCCCUGCCCACAAAACAUUGCUCCUAACUCCACCGCCUAUCCCAAAACCUAUAAGAACUAAUGAUAAUCCCACCACCCUUUGCUGACUCCUUUUUCGGACUCAGCCUACCUGUACCCAGGUGAAAUAAACAGCCUUGUUGCUCACACAA